Molecule: long non-coding RNA, 216 nt
Filed under: Phaseolus vulgaris (common bean)
Lineage: Eukaryota; Viridiplantae; Streptophyta; Magnoliopsida; Fabales; Fabaceae
Description: long non-coding RNA (PVUL_LNC001870)
Source: RNAcentral
UGCCAGAUUACUUUUGAAUUUAUCCAUGGACUGAAGUUGGUAGAUAUUAUUCACGGACUCAAACUGGUGGAUAUUAUUUACGAACUCAAAUUUGUUGAUAUUACAUACGGACCGGAGUUCCUAUAUUAUAUGUUGGAAAGAUUGGGUUUUUGUGCUCAAUGGAUUCGUUGGAUAAAGUGUUGUUUAGAAUCUGCUUCAGUCUCUGUAUUAGUGAAU